RNAcentral lists this transfer RNA (69 nucleotides) under Ictidomys tridecemlineatus (thirteen-lined ground squirrel). RNAcentral describes it as "Spermophilus tridecemlineatus (thirteen-lined ground squirrel) tRNA". It matches the Rfam family "tRNA". Rfam says of the family: Transfer RNA (tRNA) molecules are approximately 80 nucleotides in length. The record is from Rfam by way of RNAcentral. Lineage: Eukaryota; Metazoa; Chordata; Mammalia; Rodentia; Sciuridae.
GGGGUUGUGGCUCAGUGGUAGAGUGCUUGCCUGCCAUACGUGAGGCACUGGGUUUGAUCCUCAGCCCCA